Molecule: long non-coding RNA, 516 nt
Organism: Ochotona princeps (American pika)
Lineage: Eukaryota; Metazoa; Chordata; Mammalia; Lagomorpha; Ochotonidae
Exons: 3
Source: RefSeq, a predicted model, not a curated record
AUACGUAUUUUGUAAGAACCUCUUGCAUCCUUACUGUCUGAGAGGAAGGAUUUGCCCUGAUGAGUAAUGCAUCUUUGCUUCUACCUAACUGUGCAUGUGUCAUUUAUUUGAGCAGAUUCUUUCCAAUGUCAUCAGCAACUUCAUCAAUCUUCAACCCUUCUGUUACUUUUUGCUUUGAGGAUUAAGGACAGAGAACUGGAAGAAGUAUUUCCUGGUGUUCAUGAUGAAGAUCAGGUUUAUCUGUAUGCUGUGGCCUGUGAUAUGAAAGCCACAAGUUUUAUCAUCCUUGAUAACCCGGAAGUUGCAUUAAUCAAAGGCUUUGUGACACAUUCUGUGUCCUGAGUGGUGGUGAUUCAAGCCAAGGGACUGAUAAGGUGCAUGAGCCAACCAAAGGGCCAAGCGAAUCUUCAUGAAGGUUGGCUUCUAAGAGAGGAGAUACAGUGCCACGUAGCAAGAACCACCUGGGAAGGAAUUUGAGGUCUUGUAAAGCAUUCACAGGUCAGCUGAAUUUCAAAA